Oryza sativa Japonica Group (Japanese rice) is the source of this 2079-nucleotide non-coding RNA. Lineage: Eukaryota; Viridiplantae; Streptophyta; Magnoliopsida; Poales; Poaceae. The record is from RefSeq and is a predicted model, not a curated record.
CGCACACCUUAUCCUCUCGCUUUCUCGCACCUUCGUCUCCGCCUCUUCCUCUCCCUCAACUGCGCAAGCGCUUCUCCCUCCUUGCGCGGUAGCCGGCGCCAAUCCCUACCCUCGUGGCGGCUGGCUCUGCUCCCUCUCCCUGCGCAGCAGCCGACGCCUCUCCAGCCCUCUCCCCUAUGCAGCGAGUCCUCUCCUCUCUCAUGAGGUGGAGGAGGAGGCGUGGGGUGGCGGGGGCAAGAUCCAACGACCCCCAAGCUUGGGACCAGCACAGCGUUAAGGGAGAUGGCGAGGACGGUGCGACGACGGCAAGGACAGUGGCUCCACGAAGGAGGAGGUGCAGGGCGGCGGCGGCCAGAUCCAAGUGAAUUUUUUGCUGCCUCCCGCUUUCACUCACCCUUGCUUCUGUUACUCCAUCUGUAAGCGAUGUCUUUGCCUUAGCAGCCAGAUUUGAUGUCGUCCUUUGGAAAUUUGUGGCCUUCUUUAUGGGGAUCUUUGGUGCUUGCCCGAUUUGCUCUCCAUGGGUGUUUUGGAGAUGCUUGGGCUGAUUCUGUCACCACUGGAUUUGCCGCAUCGUGACUCGUGAGCUGCUGCAUCUUAAGGCGAAAGAUUGGUUUCUUUAGGGAGUUGAGAUUUGUUUGUGUGUAUCUGCUUCCACCUUUAUAAUUUUUGUAGCGUCAAUCUUCAUCGUAUUCAAUUAUGUGUCCUUGUGAAGCAAAACAUUGAAUGAAAAACUGAUUUUCUGGGGUUGGUUUUGAUGUUGUGAUUUGUCCUCCGUACAUGAUUAGGAUUUUUAUAUCAUCUCUGUUUUUUUUAAUUUGGCCACCGUACAUGAAUACACUUGUGCGGAGAUGGAGAGCGACGCUGGGUGACGACCGGAAAAAUCCAAAUAUUUAUAUUAGUUACAUAGAUAGCUAAAAUAAGUCUAUUUUCCGUCCCUCCUCUUUGGGCUGACAUAUGUAUAUCUAAAAUAAGUCUAUUUUCCGUCCCUCCUCUUUGGCUGACAUAUAUAUAUAGAUAAAAAAAGUAUCCCUAUUCCAUGGCAUAUAAUAUGUCUAUUUUUACUCCUCUAUUUUUUUUGUAUCGGGCCUAGCUGCCGGCCCAUUGUGUCGGGCCGGCCCGGUCAUGCCGGGCCAGCCCAACGUGCCGGUGGAGGGGCCCAGACACAGCCCGAUGGUUGGGCCGGGCCGGCACGGGCCCGACCUCCGUCGGGCCGUGCCGUGCUUGGGCCGGGCCAAAAUAUGGUGCCAUAGGCCGGGCCGUCGGGCCUCGGGCCUUUUGGCCAUCUAUAAGGGACGCACUGGGUGACGGCUGCACGAAUAUGCGCGCCGGAGCUGUCGGUAGGAUGCACGUGCCGGACUGACGCCGAGGCGCGGCAACGCUGCAGGCGCACGGCAGGUUGGAGCCCUGCCGGUGGGCGGUGGCUGGGCGGCGUUCCUAGGAAUUGGGUAUUGAAAGAUUGAAAGAAGUGAACGAAAAAAAUCUCGCGAACUUCAUCAGAAAAUGCGCGUAGAUAAAAAAGAUUUAGCGAACGGGUGCCAAAAACAAAUCUUUUCGCACGUGUUUGACGCGGUUUUUCUACACCUGUCAUAAGGACCGUGUCUACGGAUUUUAACCCCCAUCCUAUCAAAUUUUCAUCAAACGGAUUAAUUUAAAUAUAGAGACGGUUCAUUCAUAUGUCUCUUCCAUCUGUAUCUAGUAAUAGGGUGGGAUGGGAGGUGGGCUUUGGUAAAGACGGUUUCCCAAGCCGUUGCUUUGAAAACGUCUCUAGAGGCUGUUUCUGUUGUAGUAUAUGACGGGUAACAACUAAUUCCAGCUUUCACAAUGUAUAUAACCAGGUUAGAAAGAAAGUCUAUUGUCUGCUUUUCUUCUACACUGUGGAUGCCCUCAUUGACAUGUCUACCUAAUCCUCACUAAUUCAGCUGCUACCACCCAACUCCUCGCGAUGCAUAUCUCUAUGUGGAAGAUGAACAUCCUGGUUCAGCCAUGAAAGUGAUUUGCAAACACAUGUGUUGUCUUGCUAAAAACAACUUUGUCAAUACAUGGUAUAGCAAUCAUUGGCUUGCUCUUUACUGCUAUCAA